UAUGAAUUUAAGACUAAGUCCUAAAAAAUUGCAGGCAAACUAUCAAAAUUAUUUUCUAAGCCUUCAUUUAAAUCCUAAAUUGUGUCCCAGAGACAAAUCCUCAUUUAGAGUCUAAAGAGGAAAUUUUGAACCCAGAAGCCAAGAAUAAAAAUCGCAAGCAUAGUAUUAGAUUCUAAACGAAGGAGAUGCCUUUUUUCUAUUACUUCAUAAUAAACAAAGUAACAGGGUUAUCAUAGCAAAGCAACAUAAUAAAGCAAGUAACAGGGUAUCAUAGCACUUUGAACAUCUGUCUAAUCCCCAUAAAUUAAUCACAGCUUUGACAACAGAAUUUGAAACUAAUAGGAAAGACAGACUAGUAACAAACUCUAAACAAAGCAUUAAAAUAAUUUAAAAUAAAUACACUGUAACAAUUAAAAUUUUUUUAAGUUUGGUUUCGUUAAAGCAGACAUGACACAACUGUAUAUUUUUAUACAAAACAUGCUUUAAAAUGAUCACUUCUAAAUUAAUUGUCAUUUUUUAUACUAAUUUCUUCACAAAGCAAGACCUAAUUGUAUUGUGUACAGCCUUUCUAAAUCUCACACAGAGAAGACUUCCAAACUUGAUGGGGGUUGAAGUCAUUCUACACUAAAAUAGACUCAAGUUUCUUCAUUGACUUACAUCAAACCAUUAAAAAAAGAAAUCCAAUUCUAUUCUAGGAAGAGUUUUCCUAGUGAAGCUAUGU
This 721-nucleotide long non-coding RNA is filed under the name Homo sapiens (human). RNAcentral describes it as "non-protein coding lnc-SERPINE3-1:2". The record is from RNAcentral. Lineage: Eukaryota; Metazoa; Chordata; Mammalia; Primates; Hominidae.